This 230-nucleotide ribosomal RNA is filed under the name uncultured bacterium. RNAcentral describes it as "partial 16S ribosomal RNA". It matches the Rfam family "Bacterial small subunit ribosomal RNA", at positions 15 to 236 of the family's 1533-position model. The record is from RNAcentral.
GAUCAUGGCUCAGGAUGAACGCUAGCGAUAGGCUUAACACAUGCAAGUCGAGGGGUAACGUGUUGGAAGCUUGCUUCCGAUGACGACGACCGGCGGAUGGGUGCGUAACGCGUAUGCAACUUGCCUCACAGUGGAGAAUAACCCGGAGAAAUCCGGACUAAUGUUCCAUACACUCUUAAGUACGCCUGUACAUGAGAGGAAAGAUUUAUCGCUGUGAGAUAGGCAUGCGU